Molecule: ribosomal RNA, 507 nt
Filed under: uncultured cyanobacterium
Lineage: Bacteria; Bacillati; Cyanobacteriota
Description: bacterial SSU rRNA
Rfam family: Bacterial small subunit ribosomal RNA
Source: RNAcentral
CGAAAGCCUGACGGAGCAAUACCGCGUGAGGGACGACGGCCUUCGGGUUGUAAACCUCUUUUAUCAAGGAGGAAGUUCUGACGUGUACUUGAUGAAUAAGCAUCGGCUAACUCCGUGCCAGCAGCCGCGGUAAGACGGAGGAUGCAAGUGUUAUCCGGAAUCACUGGGCGUAAAGCGUCUGUAGGUGGUUUAAAAAGUCUGCUGUUAAAAAUUGAAGCUUAACUUCAAGGGUGCCGUAGAAACUUUUAAACUCGAGGAUGGUAGGGGUAGAGGGAAUUUCCAGUGGAGCGGUGAAAUGCGUAGAUCUUGGAAAGACCACCAAUGGCGAAGGCACUCUACCGGGCCAUUACUGACACUAAGAGACGAAAGCUAGGGGAGCAAAUGGGAUUAGAUACCCCAGUAGUCCUAGCUGUAAACGAUGGAUACUAGAUGUUGUGUGUAUUGACCCAUGCAGUAUCGUAGCUAAUGCGUUAAGUAUCCCGCCUGGGAAGUAUGCUCGCAAGAGUG